Neogale vison (American mink) is the source of this 477-nucleotide long non-coding RNA. RefSeq lists it as uncharacterized. NCBI's taxonomy places the organism in Eukaryota, Metazoa, Chordata, Mammalia, Carnivora, Mustelidae. The record is from RefSeq and is a predicted model, not a curated record. The transcript has 3 exons.
UUGGUUAAGUUCUGCCACAUCAAAACUCUUAGACAGCUAGCUGCCUCGGCGUUAUGUUUAUUAAUUACUGAUGGACUCCGUGGAGUUAAUCAGCUUUUAGGCACACGCUCUGGGGAUCUAACAGAUGGCUCAGCGCCUCCAGCACCAGCUCCCCUGGGCAGCCUGCAUCGGCAGGGAGUGUGGGAUGCCAAGCAAACCUCAGGAGGGCAACGUGACAGCUGUCCCCUCAUGGUUCCCUGGUUGCCCAGGCAUUGUUUUGCGUCAAAUGCAUCUGUUGAUGUAUCUAUAUCGCCUUCUAUAAGCAUGCCACAGUGAGAGUGUUCUGAUCACCAAGGAGGAAUACAACCAGCAAAUACUCUGCCAAGAGCCCCAGCUCUGAACGCGCCGUCCCAGCACCACACAGCUCGCUCAGUACGGAUUACCACAGGUCUGUCGACAGUCCCAUGAAUCCAUGAAAACUGCAAACAUGACCAACAG